This 253-nucleotide ribosomal RNA is filed under the name uncultured bacterium. Its description in RNAcentral is "partial 16S ribosomal RNA". It matches the Rfam family "Bacterial small subunit ribosomal RNA", at positions 524 to 776 of the family's 1533-position model. The record is from RNAcentral.
UACGUAGGGGGCAAGCGUUGUCCGGAAUCAUUGGGCGUAAAGAGCGCGUAGGCGGCCCUGUAAGUCCGCUGUGAAAGUCAAGGGCUCAACCCUUGAAUGCCGGUGGAUACUGCAGGGCUAGAGUCCGGAAGAGGCGAGUGGAAUUCCUGGUGUAGCGGUGAAAUGCGCAGAUAUCAGGAGGAACACCGAUGGCGAAGGCAGCCCCCUGGGAUGAUACUGACGCUCAUACACGAAAGCGUGGGGAGCAAACAGG